This 1391-nucleotide ribosomal RNA is filed under the name metagenome. RNAcentral describes it as "bacterial SSU rRNA". It matches the Rfam family "Bacterial small subunit ribosomal RNA". The record is from RNAcentral.
AGAGUUUGAUCCUGGCUCAGGAUGAACGCUGGCGGCGUGCUUAACACAUGCAAGUCGAACGAACCUUCGGGUUAGUGGCGGACGGGUGAGUAACGCGUGAGAAUCUGCCCUCAGGAGGGGGAUAACGGCUGGAAACGGCCGCUAAUACCCCAUAUGCCGAGAGGUGAAAUGAGUUUUCGCCUGAGGAUGAGCUCGCGUCUGAUUAGCUAGUUGGUGAGGUAAGAGCUUACCAAGGCAUCGAUCAGUAGCUGGUCUGAGAGGAUGAUCAGCCACACUGGGACUGAGACACGGCCCAGACUCCUACGGGAGGCAGCAGUGGGGAAUUUUCCGCAAUGGGCGAAAGCCUGACGGAGCAACGCCGCGUGAGGGACGAAGGCCUCUGGGCUGUAAACCUCUUUUUCUCAAGGAAGAAGACCUGACGGUACUUGAGGAAUAAGCCACGGCUAAUUCCGUGCCAGCAGCCGCGGUAAUACGGGAGUGGCAAGCGUUAUCCGGAAUUAUUGGGCGUAAAGCGUCCGCAGGCGGCCUUGUAAGUCUGCUGUCAAAGAGUGGAGCUCAACUCCAUAGAGGCAGCGGAAACUGUAAGGCUUGAGUGUGGUAGGGGCAGAGGGAAUUCCCGGUGUAGCGGUGAAAUGCGUAGAUAUCGGGAAGAACACCAGUGGCGAAGGCGCUCUGCUGGGCCAUAACUGACGCUCAUGGAUGAAAGCCAGGGGAGCGAAAGGGAUUAGAUACCCCUGUAGUCCUGGCCGUAAACGAUGAACACUAGGUGUCGGGGGAAUCGACCCCCUCGGUGUCGUAGCCAACGCGUUAAGUGUUCCGCCUGGGGAGUACGCACGCAAGUGUGAAACUCAAAGGAAUUGACGGGGGCCCGCACAAGCGGUGGAGUAUGUGGUUUAAUUCGAUGCAACGCGAAGAACCUUACCAGGGUUUGACAUCCUGCGAACCCCUGAGAGAUCGGGGGGUGCCUUCGGGAGCGCAGAGACAGGUGGUGCAUGGCUGUCGUCAGCUCGUGUCGUGAGAUGUUGGGUUAAGUCCCGCAACGAGCGCAACCCACGUCUUUAGUUGCCAGCAUUCAGUUGGGCACUCUAGAGAGACCGCCGGUGAUAAACCGGAGGAAGGUGUGGAUGACGUCAAGUCAUCAUGCCCCUUACAUCCUGGGCUACACACGUACUACAAUGCUACGGACAGAGGGCAGCAAACUCGCGAGAGCUAGCAAAUCCCAUAAACCGUGGCUCAGUUCAGAUCGUAGGCUGCAACUCGCCUACGUGAAGGAGGAAUCGCUAGUAAUCGCAGGUCAGCAUACUGCGGUGAAUACGUUCCCGGGCCUUGUACACACCGCCCGUCACACCAUGGAAGUUGGCCACGCCCGAAGCCGUUACUCCAACCCUUGU